GAGGAUAUAGCUCAGUGGUAGAGCACAUGCUUAGCAUGCAUGAGGUCCUGGGUUCAAUCCCCAGUACCUCCA
Molecule: transfer RNA, 72 nt
Filed under: Camelus ferus (Wild Bactrian camel)
Lineage: Eukaryota; Metazoa; Chordata; Mammalia; Artiodactyla; Camelidae
Rfam family: tRNA
About the family: Transfer RNA (tRNA) molecules are approximately 80 nucleotides in length. Their secondary structure includes four short double-helical elements and three loops (D, anti-codon, and T loops). Further hydrogen bonds mediate the characteristic L-shaped molecular structure. tRNAs have two regions of fundamental functional importance: the anti-codon, which is responsible for specific mRNA codon recognition, and the 3' end, to which the tRNAs corresponding amino acid is attached (by aminoacyl-tRNA synthetases). tRNAs cope with the degeneracy of the genetic code in two manners: having more than one tRNA (with a specific anti-codon) for a particular amino acid; and 'wobble' base-pairing, i.e. permitting non-standard base-pairing at the 3rd anti-codon position.
Source: Rfam by way of RNAcentral